RNAcentral lists this ribosomal RNA (450 nucleotides) under uncultured bacterium. RNAcentral describes it as "bacterial SSU rRNA". It matches the Rfam family "Bacterial small subunit ribosomal RNA", at positions 354 to 796 of the family's 1533-position model. The record is from RNAcentral.
GUGGGGAAUUUUGGACAAUGGGCGAAAGCCUGAUCCAGCAAUGCCGCGUGCAGGAUGAAGGCCCUCGGGUUGUAAACUGCUUUUGUACGGAACGAAAAGCCUGGGGCUAAUAUCCCCGGGUCAUGACGGUACCGUAAGAAUAAGCACCGGCUAACUACGUGCCAGCAGCCGCGGUAAUACGUAGGGUGCAAGCGGUAAUCGGAAUUACUGGGCGUAAAGCGUGCGCAGGCGGUUAUAUAAGACAGAUGUGAAAUCCCCGGGCUCAACCUGGGAACUGCAUUUGUGACUGUAUAGCUAGAGUACGGUAGAGGGGGAUGGAAUUCCGCGUGUAGCAGUGAAAUGCGUAGAUAUGCGGAGGAACACCGAUGGCGAAGGCAAUCCCCUGGACCUGUACUGACGCUCAUGCACGAAAGCGUGGGGAGCAAACAGGAUUAGAAACCCUGGUAGUCC